GGAGUAGGACAAAUGACCGCUGCUUUGCCGUUGCGCAAGGGAGAGGAAAGUCCGGGCUCCGUAGGACGGGGUGCUGGGUAAUGCCCAGUCCUAGCAACAGGAAGGAAAGUGCCACAGAAAGCAAACCGCCCGGCACUCAGUUCCCUAAAAAAAUUCUAUUGGCUGUAGGACCGUCCGUUCAUCAACCCAGUGGAGUUUUAACAAGUUAUGGAACUGAGUGCCGGGUAAGGGUGAAACGGUGAGGUAAGAGCUCACCAGUCCUGCCGGUGACGGCUGGAGCUAGGUAAACCCCACCUGGAGCAAGACCAAAUAGGGGAACGCUUGAGGGUGGUCCGCCCGAGUUCCCGGGUAGGUCGCUUGAUCUCGACGGUAACGUCGAGGCUAGAUGAAUGGUCAUUGUCCCGAAAGCGGGUAACUGCUUCGGGAAACAGAACCCGGCUUACGUACUACUCUGACA
This 457-nucleotide RNase P RNA is filed under the name Desulfobacteraceae bacterium. RNAcentral's name for it is "RNase P RNA component class A". It matches the Rfam family "Bacterial RNase P class A". From Rfam's summary of the family: Ribonuclease P (RNase P) is a ubiquitous endoribonuclease, found in archaea, bacteria and eukarya as well as chloroplasts and mitochondria. The record is from RNAcentral. Lineage: Bacteria; Pseudomonadati; Thermodesulfobacteriota; Desulfobacteria; Desulfobacterales; Desulfobacteraceae.